AUUGAACGCCGGCGGAAUGCUUUACACAUGCAAGUCGAACGGCAGCACGGACUUCGGUCUGGUGGCGAGUGGCGAACGGGUGAGUAAUAUAUCGGAACGUGCCCAGUCGUGGGGGAUAACGUAGUGAAAAUUACGCUAAUACCGCAUACGAUCUAAGGAUGAAAGCGGGGGAUCGCAAGACCUCGCGCGAUUGGAGCGGCCGAUAUCAGAUUAGGUAGUUGGUGAGGUAAAGGCUCACCAAGCCAACGAUCUGUAGCUGGUCUGAGAGGACGACCAGCCACACUGGGACUGAGACACGGCCCAGACUCCUACGGGAGGCAGCAGUGGGGAAUUUUGGACAAUGGACGCAAGUCUGAUCCAGCCAUUCCGCGUGCAGGACGAAGGCCUUCGGGUUGUAAACUGCUUUUGUACGGAACGAAAAGGUUUCUAUUAAUACUAGGAGCUCAUGACGGUACCGUAAGAAUAAGCACCGGCUAACUA
This 480-nucleotide ribosomal RNA is filed under the name uncultured bacterium. RNAcentral's name for it is "bacterial SSU rRNA". It matches the Rfam family "Bacterial small subunit ribosomal RNA", at positions 30 to 503 of the family's 1533-position model. The record is from RNAcentral.